AAAGCAGACAUAUAUAGUUUUCACUUCAAUUAUUUAUGCAGCUAGCUGUUGAUUCCUUUUAGUCUGGUGACCCUGAGGAGAUGUUUCACUAACUCUGCUCUCCUCCCAUCCAAGGCUUUAUUCUGCUGUCCUUGGCUUUUCCUUGGGAAUGCUCUCCAGAGCCUUUCCUGGAAUCCUGAAUGGGCAGGACAGAAAGGAAAGUGUUGCCUGGGUAACUCAGCAAAAUAACCAGUUAGUUUGAGUGAGUGUGGCUCAGCCAGCUGAGAGCAUUUGGGCACUGAAGUGUGCUCCUUUUCCAGGGCCACGCACUGAAACACCCCAAGAAAUUCCCUCUUUCUAGCUGACUCAUCCAGCAUGAAUGCCCUGGAUUCCUGGAUAUGUCCAAACCAGGACAGAGCCCAGGAGCUCAAGUGAGGAAGGGGCUGUGCCUGUGGUGUGGCAGUCACAGAUCAAUAGGGCACAAUUUUCAGCUCCAUUGUAACCUUCUCCUAAAACCCGGGUCCCAUCACCACUGUUGGAGUUUAAAAACCACUUGUGAACUUCAGCAGGGACUACCCAGUGCCCACAGCCAACUGGGCUGCUGCAAUUCCACCCUGGAACCCUGCCAGCACCUGCACUUUGUCGGGGUGAGCAAACAAAAAUCAAAUGCGUUUUGAAGGGAAUAAUUCACUGGGCUGAUAAUCAGUGCCUACAGCUUUAAUGUUUUGGGAAAAAUGUAAGAUAAAAACAGACACAAACCUGGCCUGCCGGUUGCCACCAAGAGAAGAAUCUCUGUUGUUUUCAUUCUCUUCAAACCUGGAGAAGGAAGCCUGGAAGGUUUUCCUAAAACAGCUGAGCACGUUCAAGUGAGGCAAGAACACCCAACAGUGCAAAGUGCUCAUGAAGAACUUUCCUGAACAUUACAUAAAGCCUGAGCCUCUUUAAGUACUUUCAUCCAACAGAUACAUCCACAAGGCAUUUAACAAGCCAUUAACAAAGCAGGAGAUCUUUUAGGCAACAAAAAUACGAACUUCAAGUGGGCAAAACUGGGAAAGGAAUUGGUGAAAGUGAAGCGGAGCGAGCCGAGCAGAGAUUCAGCUGGAUGAUCACGUAUCUUGCUACAGGUAUCACCAACCUAUCUUUAGGCACCUUCUGGAAAAACAGUUCACUGAUACCAGCUGGAUCAGCCCAGGAAUUUGUUUGAUGUGCUUAAGAGGUAACAAUAGCUCCUAAGGUGACAGCGUCUCCUUGGAGACAGCGAAUCCAUCCAGCCAGCGCCAGGAUCCCGGCAGGUUCCCCCUCUCCAGAGCCUCUGGAACUCCCUCCCUGUGCAGGGCCAGAGAUGGAAGAUAAGCUCUGCCUGUAGACAAAUAGCCCUGAGCAAGAUGUGAGGAUUUUAUGCAUCAGCCAGACAUGUCUGAAAGUUCCUCAGGUCUGACUACAAGCAAUCAGAAAUUCUUAAAAUCUUAUUCCUCCUGCUGCUCCAUCCUGAGGGAUGCACACAACACUCCACUGGUUUUACCCCAAAACAGAGGAACCCUCGGGCAGAACUGGGACCCCAGGCUCCCUUUCCCACUUCCUUCUGACUCCUUCAAGUACCUUGGCUGGUGUGACAUAGAGGAACACGGUGUUCGAGGAAAUCAGCUCCUCUGUCCCCGAGUCAGGGAAGAACCUCCCCAGCAAUAUAUACAUAUUCUUCCAGCAAGUGACUAAGUGCCAGUUCUGUGUCACAUCCCCAGCUGUAAAUCUUUUUCUCUGACCAGGGCCCUCGGAAGAAGAACUGUUUUUCAGAAAAGAAGAACAUACUCUGAAAAGAAGAAAACAAGUAACUGACCCAGAGAAAUGGGAAAAGAGGCUGCAAGAGAACUGGGAAAACUGUGCUGAGUUGAACCUUUCCUUCCAGGACUUGGGUGAUCUUUACCAGGUGGAAAACUUCAAAAGAAUCCUCCGAAGAUUAAUUCGGGUGGAAAAGCUUUGGUUGGUGGACAAUUCUUUGACAGACCUAAGUGCCAUAAGGUUGCCAAGAUGCAGAGAGCUAAAUGUAAAUAAAAACCACUUUACAUCCUUCAAACAGCUGCCAAAGAUCCCUCAGAUUCAGCACUUGUCUCUCGCUGAAAAUAACAUCACGACCCUGAGUGGGAUUUCAGACUUCAGACACACUCCACUUGAAUCCCUGAUCCUCAAGAGGAAUCCCUGUGAGUUCCAGGAAAGAUACAGACAGCUUGUGUUCUCCAAUUUGCCAAACCUGAAAAUACUGGAUGGCAUCCCAAAACUGCCAGAGGACUGCUCACCCCCUGAUGUCAAGUUUUUUUACAGAAUAUGUACUAUACUCUAGCGCAGUAUUUUUGUAGGAUCACAGUUGUGCUACAACCACCUUGAUUAAAAGAGACUAUAAAUCCUGGUUAUGGAAGUUCUAUUUUAUUUUUUUUUUACUGGUCAAAGAGAUAUUGAAACAGAAAUAAAACAUUUUUGAGUGCA
Taeniopygia guttata (zebra finch) is the source of this 2457-nucleotide RNA transcript. RefSeq lists it as uncharacterized. NCBI's taxonomy places the organism in Eukaryota, Metazoa, Chordata, Aves, Passeriformes, Estrildidae. The record is from RefSeq and is a predicted model, not a curated record.